UAGUGUUACACCUCUUUUAGAAUUUGUCUGGCAGGUUUUCCGGUCUUCACUGGAAGACACCCUG
This is a small nuclear RNA of Lemur catta (Ring-tailed lemur), 64 nucleotides long. RefSeq annotates it as U7 small nuclear RNA. The record is from RefSeq and is a predicted model, not a curated record. The transcript has a single exon. Lineage: Eukaryota; Metazoa; Chordata; Mammalia; Primates; Lemuridae.